CUAAGGAAGCUGUGGAACUGGUAAGACGAUCGGCUGGAUCUUCGGAUCUCCCCGAUAUGAACCUUCCCGUGCUUUUUAGAACAUAGAUGGCACCAGUCAGGUGACCAUCGAAACGUAAUACGUCACAGAGACCUCGUGUCCUGAUGAUAUGGCGAGCUGCGCCGUCCACGUUUCUCUUUCUUCAAGAAGACAAAAAACCGCGUCGAUCCAGUUUAGGCUGGGCCGGUUCCCCGAAUGGGCCCGUAGCUCAGUUGGUUAGAGCACACGCUUGAUAAGCGUGGGGUCGGAAGUUCAAGUCUUCCCGGGCCCACCAUUUGCACCAGCAAAUGAAGUUUGCUGUAGCCAAUGAGGGUUAGGGAUGAUGGAAUGUCAGGCGAUGCGGAUUGUUGCCGAACCUUGGGGCUUGUCCUUGGGGUGAUCGAGCUGGAGGGGCUGUAGCUCAGCUGGGAGAGCACCUGCUUUGCAAGCAGGGGGUCAGCGGUUCGAUCCCGCUCAGCUCCACCAAAUCGAUUGGUGUUGAAGCUGACGGCAUUUGUCUUUUGAAGAAAAUAAGGUUUUGCAUCGGCCUGUGGCUGGUGCGUGUUCUGCAUACAUUGUGAAGAGAAGAUUGAUCUGGAGGCUUCCAGGUGUCGGGUUUUGCCCUUUUGGGUUUAACUUGGCGUCCGAGCCCAGUUCUGAUGAUCCCAUGGAUGGCCUAGCCGGCCGGAUAUGGGUGAAGGACUGGAGGGUGGAAGGAAGCUUGUCGCUCUGGAUCGUUCGUUGUUCGUUGCCUUUGGGCAUCGUCUGAUGAACGAUCGGAUUACCGUUGCCUGACCGCGCGGUAUCGGAUCAUAUCUCGAGAAGCUGGUCUUAAGACAGGCUGCAAGCGAGCUGCUCGGCGUAGCUCCAAUAAAGCAGACCUGUCGAACACGUUAAUGGCAUUGUUGGAUUGACUGGGUUGUAAAAGGUAACCCGGUCUGUUGCCGUUCCUUAUGGAGUGGGCAACGAGACGAUGAGCAUUGGCAAUGAGAACG
RNAcentral lists this transfer RNA (1013 nucleotides) under Rhizobium leguminosarum bv. viciae. RNAcentral describes it as "partial 16S-23S ribosomal RNA intergenic spacer". The stretch from base 237 to 310 matches the Rfam family "tRNA". Lineage: Bacteria; Pseudomonadati; Pseudomonadota; Alphaproteobacteria; Hyphomicrobiales; Rhizobiaceae. The record is from RNAcentral.